This 300-nucleotide ribosomal RNA is filed under the name uncultured Bacillus sp. Its description in RNAcentral is "bacterial SSU rRNA". It matches the Rfam family "Bacterial small subunit ribosomal RNA", at positions 495 to 794 of the family's 1533-position model. The record is from RNAcentral. Lineage: Bacteria; Bacillati; Bacillota; Bacilli; Caryophanales; Bacillaceae.
GGAUAACUGCGGGCCAGGAGGCGCGGGAAUACGGAGGGUUGGAGGGUUAAACGGAAUGAAUGGGCGUAAAGCGCGCGUAGGGUGUUUAAGAAGUCGGAUGUGAAAGCCCCGGGCUCAACCUAGGAGUUGCAGUCGAGACUGUUAGGCUAGAGUACGGUAGAGGGGGGUAGAAUUCCCGGUGUAGCGGUGAAAUGCGUAGAUAUCGGGAGGAAUACCAGUGGCGAAGGCGGCCCCCUGGACUGAUACUGACGCUGAGGUGCGAAAGCGCGGGGAGCAAACAGGAUUAGAUACCCUGGUAGC